GGGAUGGAGGGUGCCGGGAUGGCGUUCUGGGUUCACGGCGGUGCCAGGGGAGUGGCGGGGCUGGGGAAUGCCCGGGUGGAGCAUCCUGGGUGGUGGUGCGGGGGGCCAGGUACAGUCCGGGGCUGAGAUGGGUGCUGGGGGUCACGAGGGCCUCAGGGAAAGUGUGGGGGACAGGCAUGCUACUGUGUCCCCAAGCACUGCCCCUUCCCAGGCUGGACCUGAGCAACUGCUCCCUGCAGAGCGUUCCCCCGGGACUGGCCGAGGCCACCGCUGCCGUCAUCCUGGACCUGACUGAGAACCCGCUGACAGCUGUUCCCAGUGCUUCCUUCCUGGGCUUCACCCAGCUNNNNNNNNNNNNNNNNNNNNUCCCGGUCCUGGGCAGGGCCCGUUCCCGAUGCUUCUCUUCGGAGGAAUCCUGGGCGCCGCCACCGUGUCCCUGUCCCUGCUGCUGUGGGGCACCCAGCGGAGGAAGGCCAAGAGCCCCUGAGCAGGGCAGGAGGCCGUGCCUGGGCUGGGAGCUCUGGGGCUCAAUAAAGCUGCAGCUCCUCGCUGUGUGUCCGUCUGCUUCCUUCCCGAGGGAAGGGGGGGUGCAAAUUCCCACUGCUAUAGAAACAUAUUAUAAUAUUGCCUUUUUGCAAAUAUUGAAAUGGGUUUAUAGGGGUAGUGUUAAAGUGACUUUGUUAUAAAGAUAUAGUUUUUGCUUCUGUUGUUAAUUAAGCUUAGACAUAGCAGUGCAAUAGCUGAUAUCAGUGCUUGUGCUAAAAUGCCUGCUGGGAUGGGAUAACAUCCAGUGCACACAGGGUGAGCACACCUGUACAGAUCUGCCAACUGUCAGCACUCACCGUCUGAGGCCAAAAAAAUGGAUAAAGAAAAGGAGCCAAAACCACAGCCAAGAAACACACAUGCUCUAAAAAGGCAGAUCAAAGGAGGGGCCAUGUAAAAUAGUUCCUGGAAAAUGUAAACCAGUUUAUGGAUAUGCACGAGGGUCUAUGAAUAUGCAACAGGCUGGUGUAAUUAAAAGGUAUUUCAGGGGUAUCCCCGAAGAUAACCGGGUGCUCUCGCCACAAUGCGCCCUUUGCUGUAUGGUCCUAUCUCCUGUUGUCCUUUAUUGCACUUUAAAAGUUUCCACAGGAGAGUGAACCUGUGUUUCACCGCAUCCUCCCCGCUCUGGCUGCGCUCGGGCCAAGGCCUGGGGGGGAAGAGGAGCGCCCGCCCCGGGACCUGCCCGCCCACGGUUACCGGUGCAGCCGUGGGGAACGGCGAGCGACCGGGAGCGGGCUGGGCUCCGAGACCUGGGGCGUGAAAAUCACGGCAGCGUCACGGUAAGCGAUUACUGCUGAGACCUGUUAUUAACCACCGAGAUCAGGGGAGAGCGCGAACGCAGUCCCCCACUACCACAAAU
RNAcentral lists this long non-coding RNA (1402 nucleotides) under Serinus canaria (Common canary). Its description in RNAcentral is "lncRNA (ENSSCAG00000012775.1)". The record is from RNAcentral. Lineage: Eukaryota; Metazoa; Chordata; Aves; Passeriformes; Fringillidae.